This 373-nucleotide ribosomal RNA is filed under the name uncultured bacterium. RNAcentral's name for it is "bacterial SSU rRNA". It matches the Rfam family "Bacterial small subunit ribosomal RNA", at positions 28 to 404 of the family's 1533-position model. The record is from RNAcentral.
GACGAACGCUGGCGGCGUGCCUAACACAUGCAAGUCGAACGGGGGUAGCAAUACCUCAGUGGCGAACGGGUGCGUAACACGUGAAGAAUUUGUCCAACGGCGGGGGGAUAGCCGGCCCAACGGCCGGGUAAUACCGCGUACGACCACCGGGGGGCAUCCCCUGAUGGUGAAAGCCGCAAGGCGCCGAUGGAGAACUUCGCGGCCUAUCAGCUAGUUGGUGAGGUCAUGGCUCACCAAGGCGACGACGGGUAGCUGGUCCGAGAGGAUGACCAGCCACAUUGGGACUGAGACACGGCCCAGACUCCUACGGGGAGGCAGCAGGUGGGGAAUAAUUGCGCAAUGGGCGAAAGCCUGACGCAGCGACGCCGCGUGU